GAACGCAUAUUGCGCUCUUUGGUAUUCCGAAGAGCAUGCUUGUUUGAGUAUCAGUAAACACCUCAACCUCCUCUUGUUUUUUCAAAAGGAGGGUGGACUUGAGCUAUCCCAACAACCUUCACCGGUAGGCGGGCGGCUUGAAAUGCAGGUGCAGCUGGACUUUUAUCUGAGCUAAAAGCAUAUCUAUUUAGUCCUCGUCAAACAGGAUUAUUACUAUUGCUGCAGCUAACAUAAAGGAUAAUUGUCCUCAUUGCUGACUGAUGCAGGAUUUUACGACACUUUAUGUGUUGUUCAACUCGAUCUCAAAUCAAGUAAGACUACCCGCUGAACUUA
RNAcentral lists this unclassified non-coding RNA (333 nucleotides) under Podila humilis. Its description in RNAcentral is "sequence contains 5.8S rRNA gene". The stretch from base 1 to 53 matches the Rfam family "5.8S ribosomal RNA", at positions 102 to 154 of the family's 154-position model. The record is from RNAcentral. Lineage: Eukaryota; Fungi; Mortierellomycota; Mortierellomycetes; Mortierellales; Mortierellaceae.